CCUACGGGUGGCUGCAGUAGGGAAUCUUCCACAAUGGACGAAAGUCUGAUGGAGCAACGCCGCGUGUGUGAUGAAGGGUUUCGGCUCGUAAAACACUGUUGUAAGAGAAGAAUGACAUUGAGAGUAACUGUUCAGUGUGUGACGGUAUCUUACCAGAAAGGAACGGCUAAAUACGUGCCAGCAGCCGCGGUAAUACGUAUGUUCCAAGCGUUAUCCGGAUUUAUUGGGCGUAAAGCGAGCGCAGACGGUUAUUUAAGUCCGAAGUGAAAGCCCACAGCUUAACUGUGGAAGUGCUUUGGAAACUGGAUAACUUGAGUGCAGUAGAGGAGAGUGGAACUCCAUGUGUAGCGGUGAAAUGCGUAGAUAUAUGGAAGAACACCAGUGGCGAAGGCGGCUCUCUGGACUGUAACUGACGUUGAGGCUCGAAAGUGUGGGUAGCAAACAGGAUUAGAUACCCUAGUAGUC
Molecule: ribosomal RNA, 465 nt
Filed under: uncultured Weissella sp.
Lineage: Bacteria; Bacillati; Bacillota; Bacilli; Lactobacillales; Lactobacillaceae
Description: bacterial SSU rRNA
Rfam family: Bacterial small subunit ribosomal RNA
Source: RNAcentral